GACGAACGCUGGCGGCGUGCCUAAACACAUGCAAGUCGAACGGGACCAGGGGCAACUCUGGUUCAGUGGCGGACGGGUGCGUAACACGUGAGGAACAUGACCUUCGGCGGGGGAGUAGCCGGCCCAACGGCCGGGUAAUACCGCGUACGACCACUUGGGGACAUCCUUGAGUGGUGAAAGCAGCAAUGCGCCGAUGAAGUGCCUCGCGGCCUAUCAGCUAGUUGGUGAGGAACGGCUCACCAAGGCGACGACGGGUAGCUGGUCUGAGAGGAUGGCCAGCCACAUUGGGACUGAGACACGGCCCAGACUCCUACGGGAGGCAGCAGUGGGGAAUAUUGCGCAAUGGACGAAAGUCUGACGCAGCGACGCCGCGUGUGGGAUGACGGU
Molecule: ribosomal RNA, 387 nt
Filed under: uncultured bacterium
Lineage: Bacteria
Description: bacterial SSU rRNA
Rfam family: Bacterial small subunit ribosomal RNA
Source: RNAcentral